This 1027-nucleotide ribosomal RNA is filed under the name Leucosporidium sp. Its description in RNAcentral is "partial large subunit ribosomal RNA". It matches the Rfam family "Eukaryotic large subunit ribosomal RNA", at positions 76 to 1106 of the family's 3401-position model. Lineage: Eukaryota; Fungi; Basidiomycota; Microbotryomycetes; Leucosporidiales; Leucosporidiaceae. The record is from RNAcentral.
UCCCCUAGUAACGGCGAGUGAAGCGGGAAGAGCUCAAAUUUGUAAUCUGGCACUUUCAGUGUCCGAGUUGUAAUCUCGAGAAGUAUUUUCCGCGCCGGACCGCAUACAAGUCUGUUGGAAUACAGCGUCAUAGUGGUGAGAACCCCGUAACUGAUGCGGAUGCCCGGUGCUUUGUGAUAUACUUUCGAAGAGUCGAGUUGUUUGGGAAUGCAGCUCAAAUUGGGUGGUAAAUUCCAUCUAAAGCUAAAUAUUGGAGCAAGACCGAUAGCGAACAAGUACCGUGAGGGAAAGAUGAAAAGCACUUUGGAAAGAGAGUUAACAGUACGUGAAAUUGUUGGAAGGGAAACGCUUGAAGUCAGACUUGCUAUUCGGAGUUCAGCCGCAAGGUGUAUUCUUCGAUUUGCAGGCCAGCAUCAGUUUUUGGGGGUGGAAAAUCGUGGUUUGAAGGUAGCAGUUUCGGCUGUGUUAUAGCUUUCCACUGGAUUCAUCUUCGGGGACUGAGGAACGCAGUACGCUUUUUGCAAGGCUCUCGAGCUUUUCGUACUUAGGAUGCUGGUGGAAUGGCUUUAAACGACCCGUCUUGAAACACGGACCAAGGAGUCUAACAUGCUUGCGAGUGUUUGGGUGUCAAACCCGGACGCGCAAUGAAAGUGAAUGGAGGUGGGAUCCGCAAGGUGCACCAUCGACCGAUCUGGAUUUUCUAAGAUGGAUUUGAGUAAGAGCAAUUAUGUUGGGACCCGAAAGAUGGUGAACUAUGCCUGAAUAGGGCGAAGCCAGAGGAAACUCUGGUGGAGGCUCGUAGCGGUUCUGACGUGCAAAUCGAUCGUCAAAUUUGGGUAUAGGGGCGAAAGACUAAUCGAACCAUCUAGUAGCUGGUUCCUGCCGAAGUUUCCCUCAGGAUAGCAGAAACUCACAUCAGUUCUAUGAGGUAAAGCGAAUGAUUAGAGGCCUUGGGGUUGAAACAACCUUAACCUAUUCUCAAACUUUAAAUAUGUAGGAAGACCUUGCUACUUAAUUGAGCGAGGUC